Molecule: non-coding RNA, 642 nt
Organism: Thamnophis sirtalis
Lineage: Eukaryota; Metazoa; Chordata; Lepidosauria; Squamata; Natricidae
Source: RefSeq, a predicted model, not a curated record
AAUGAUGAAUUGGAUUAGCCCCACAAUCAGGUUGCCAAAACAGCAAGCUCAAAUGUGAAAAUAGGGAAAUUCUAAUGAUGUUAUUCAAUAAAUUAACCUAUGUACUUCUUUAUUGUAGACAAGAAACAGAGUAUAUAGCCGAAUUCUGUCUCUGUGUUCUCAAAAUAUUAGUGGGACCAGAUCUCCUCAAGAAUUAUUCAAAACUUCUGGAUUGACUCAGAAAUGGGUGAACAGGGAAAUAUCCAAUUUUGAUUACCUCAUUCAGUUAAAUACAAUGGCAGGACGCACCUACAAUGAUCUUGCGCAAUAUCCUGUUUUUCCAUGGAUUCUGCAGGAUUAUACUUCAGAAGAAUUGGAUUUGAAUAAUCCUGCAGUGUUUCGGGAUUUGUCUAAGCCUAUUGGUGUAGUGAAUGAAAAGAAUGUGAGAGCUGUAAAUGAAAGGUAUUUCUUUUGAAGUAAUCUUUUAAUUGAUGUCCUUAUUAUGGAUCUGCUUCUUCUUAAUGUUAACGCUUGUUCUCCUCCUCCAACUAAUAAGUGGAAUUUAUUGUUCAGAUGGUAGUGAAGAAUUGAAGAAAACUAUUCAAGUAUUCAUUGAUAAGCAGGUUUAGGAUGAGAGCAUUUUAAAUUGUCACAGCCAAUAAA